CUUGUGAUGUCCCAUGAUCUGUAGCCUUCUCCCUGUUAUCCUGCCCUCUUCCUCCUGGGGGUGUAGCUUCCUCCCUAGCGACAGAUUUAUCUUCUCCUCUAAUGUUUUCAUCACCAGCCUUUUUAUCUGAUACUUUUUCCUUUUGGAGAGCAGGUGUAAUUUCUACAGAUCCAUUUGUCUUUUGGGGAGCAGAUGCAUUUUCUACAAAUCCAUUUGUCUUGUGACCGUUUUGUUCUACUUCUCGAUCAAUAUCGCCAGCAUUUUGAUCAACAUUUGUACCUCCUGAUUGUGCAACAGUUUCUCCAGCACUUGUAUCAUCUUUCUUAAGUCCUUCCACUGCAACUUCAUGCACUUUUUCUGCACUCUGCUUCUCUUGUUCUACUUCUCGAUCAAUAUCGACAGCAUUUUGAUCAACAUUUGUAUCUCUUGAUUGUGCAACAGUUUUUCCAGCACUUUUAUCAUUUUCCUUUAGUCCUUCCUCUGCAUCUUCAUGCACAUUUUCUGCACUCCGCUUUUCUUUGCCUGCUCCCU
RNAcentral lists this long non-coding RNA (531 nucleotides) under Ricinus communis (castor bean). RNAcentral describes it as "long non-coding RNA (RCOM_LNC000255)". The record is from RNAcentral. Lineage: Eukaryota; Viridiplantae; Streptophyta; Magnoliopsida; Malpighiales; Euphorbiaceae.